RNAcentral lists this ribosomal RNA (253 nucleotides) under uncultured bacterium. RNAcentral's name for it is "partial 16S ribosomal RNA". It matches the Rfam family "Bacterial small subunit ribosomal RNA", at positions 524 to 776 of the family's 1533-position model. The record is from RNAcentral.
UACGUAGGGGGCAAGCGUUGUUCGGAAUUACUGGGCGUAAAGGGCGCGUAGGCGGCACGGCAAGUCAGGAGUGAAAGCCCGGGGCUCAACCCCGGAAUGUCUUUUGAAACUGCCGAGCUAGAGUGCGGAAGAGGCAACUGGAAUUCCCAGUGUAGCGGUGAAAUGCGUAGAUAUUGGGAAGAACACCUGAGGCGAAGGCGGGUUGCUGGGCCGACACUGACGCUGAGGCGCGAAAGCGUGGGGAGCAAACAGG